GACGGCCACAUCUCGUUGCAACACCGAUUCUCGUAGAUCACCAAAGUUAAGCAACGUCGAGCCUGUUCCAUACUUAGAUGGGUGACCACUUGAGAAUACCAGGUGCUGUAA
Molecule: ribosomal RNA, 111 nt
Filed under: Acanthosepion pharaonis
Lineage: Eukaryota; Metazoa; Mollusca; Cephalopoda; Sepiida; Sepiidae
Source: RNAcentral